Octopus bimaculoides (California two-spot octopus) is the source of this 1812-nucleotide unclassified non-coding RNA. NCBI's taxonomy places the organism in Eukaryota, Metazoa, Mollusca, Cephalopoda, Octopoda, Octopodidae. The record is from RefSeq and is a predicted model, not a curated record.
AUAAUUUAUAAUAUUCGAUGAUCCUGUAAUGGCAACGUGAAAUAAUAACGGUAAUUGACCUUUCAAUCGCCUUGCAUUAAAUCAGAUUUUAACAAGAAGAUAAAACCAUAAAAUUGUUCGAUACAUUUAAGAAACUUUCUUAUCGUUCACAAUUAAAUGGAUUUAUCUUGAUAAUCCUAGUGAACAUCUGUUACAGUGUUUACAUAAGAACGCAAAGCAACGUAGAUAGACGACGUUAGGUUUCAAAGAAAAUAGACGAUGAAAAUAUACAUUUUCUUUCCAUUUGUUCUUAUUGGCGCCGACAUGGGAAUCAUUUGUCCACCAAUGGCAAGACGACACUGUGAUAUUCCUGUAUCCUUUUUCAAAAGUCUCCUCCACGAUGAGUCGUUUUGCGAUGAAUAUCGAGCAAGCGCUAAAUGUUUGCAUGCAAUACACGACCAUUGUAAUAUAUAUUUCAUACAUGCCUAUCAGCAUAAGUGUAAGGACAUUGAAACAUAUCCAGGCUACCCCAUGCAAAAUAUGAUGGUGUGAAUUAUAUCAGACGUUAACGUGAAUAAAAAAAAACAUGGAUUGACAUGUAACGUAUCUCAGAACUCUGUGCAACUGAACGCAAAACACAUCAGAAAUAAUGUCGGAAUGGAAUUGGCAUUUGCUUCUGCAGUUGCUAAUAAAUUUAUAUAUUAAAUAUUGAAAUAAAUACAGGUUUAAAGACUUCCGUGUAAUAACACUGUUUGUGCUAUUUUGGUAUUUACUUAUUUAUGUAACUAUACUUUGAAUGUCCAAAAUUUAAAAUUUUACGUAGACAACAAGGUCACAGGUUACUUCUCAAUAACUUACAAACAUUCACGUCCAUUUCAUUUCAUUAUUUUGAAGAUUACGUUUCAUAUCAAACGUUUCAUUUCCCCGUAUAAUAAAGAACAUGUAUCAGUUGUUUGAAUACAUUUGUAAAAAGGAAUAUAGAUUUUAUUACCAAUUUGUAAUUCCUACUUACUUCUCACCCGUCCUAUAUAUAUACAUACAUACAUAAGUAUGUAUGCUUGUUCCUUUUUAUCGCUUUCUAUACAUACUAAUGUGUGUAUAGGCACACAUUUUUCAUACAUAUACAUUUGUGCAUGUUUAUCAAUCCCACAAUUACUUAUUAUUACUUCUAGAUAAAAGAUAAACGAAGUGAUUUGAUUAGAAUUCUUCGAGGCAGCGCUCUAGUAAUAACCAGAGAUAUAGGACUAAAACAUUGUAAAAGAUAAACUAUUUUAUGUUCGAUAAAUUAUUGGUUUAAAUCAUAUUUCACAUCUAAACAAAACAUGUCUGCAUAUGAUCAGAUUAGCUAAGUUUAUUAUACGUCGCAAUUCAUCAAAUAUAUUUAUUUAUGAUGUUGAUACACAUCUGUUACAAUGGUUUCUUAAGCACUUAAACAAUGCAACGUGGACAUAAGUCUUAGUGUCAGUGAAUAGAGACGAUGAAAAUUUAUAUCUACAUUUCUUUACUCAGUGUUGUUUCAGGUGCGAUGGUUCGAUAUUGCCCAGAUCAGGCAGAAUUGUUAUGCACUUUUCCCAAACAUUUGUUUAUAGAUUUGAAUCACGAUAGUGAGUUUUGCAGUAAAUUUCAAAAUAAGGCUGAAUGUUUGAUGAAUAUGAAAGAUUACUGUCCUGGAGUAUACAAGAACUACUUUUAUCAUAAAUAAUUCCCAUGAGUUAAAAAAACUUGAAGCCUCAACCACCCGAAACAUGGUCAGAAUGGAUCUAUUAUUUUCUGCAGUACUCCUUUAUAAAUUGAUAUAAUAAAAUAUUUAAAUAAAUACACAUUUAAAUAAUU